RNAcentral lists this ribosomal RNA (500 nucleotides) under uncultured bacterium. RNAcentral describes it as "bacterial SSU rRNA". It matches the Rfam family "Bacterial small subunit ribosomal RNA", at positions 218 to 735 of the family's 1533-position model. The record is from RNAcentral.
CUAAGGGAUCAGUCUAUGUUCCAUCAGCUUGUUGGUGAGGUAAUGGCUCACCAAGGCUAUGACGGAUAUCUGGUUUGAGAGGAUGAUCAGACACACUGGAACUGAGACACGGUCCAGACUCCUACGGGAGGCAGCAGUGAGGAAUAUUGCACAAUGGAGGAAACUCUGAUGCAGCAACGCCGCGUGGAGGAUGACGCAUUUCGGUGUGUAAACUCCUUUUAUUAGGGAAGAUAAUGACGGUACCUAAUGAAUAAGCACCGGCUAACUCCGUGCCAGCAGCCGCGGUAAUACGGAGGGUGCAAGCGUUACUCGGAAUCACUGGGCGUAAAGGGUGCGUAGGCUGGCUUUUAAGUCAGAUGUGAAAUCCAAUGGCUCAACCAUUGAACUGCAUUUGAAACUGAAAGCCUAGAGUUCAGAAGGGGCAGAUGGAAUUAGUGGUGUAGGGGUAAAAUCCGUAGAUAUCACUAGGAAUAUCAAAAGCGAAGGCGAUCUGCUGGGAU